CCUACGGGUGACAGCAGUGGGGAAUAUUGCACAAUGGGGGGAACCCUGAUGCAGCGACGCCGCGUGAGCGAGGAAGUAUUUCGGUAUGUAAAGCUCUAUCAGCAGGGACGAAAAAAGACGGUACCUGACUAAGAAGCCCCGGCUAACUACGUGCCAGCAGCCGCGGUAAUACGUAGGGGGCAAGCGUUAUCCGGAUUUACUGGGUGUAAAGGGAGCGUAGACGGCAAGGCAAGCCAGAAGUGAAAGGGCAGGGCUCAACCCUGGAAAUGCUUUUGGAACUGUGGUGCUGGAGUGCAGGAGAGGUAAGUGGAAUUCCUGGUGUAGCGGUGAAAUGCGUAGAUAUUAGGAGGAACACCAGUGGCGAAGGCGGCUUACUGGACUGUAACUGACGUUGAGGCUCGAAAGCGUGGGGAGCAAACAGGAUUAGAUACCCGUGUAGUC
RNAcentral lists this ribosomal RNA (441 nucleotides) under uncultured bacterium. RNAcentral describes it as "partial 16S ribosomal RNA". It matches the Rfam family "Bacterial small subunit ribosomal RNA", at positions 338 to 795 of the family's 1533-position model. The record is from RNAcentral.